RNAcentral lists this ribosomal RNA (464 nucleotides) under uncultured bacterium. RNAcentral describes it as "partial 16S ribosomal RNA". It matches the Rfam family "Bacterial small subunit ribosomal RNA", at positions 29 to 507 of the family's 1533-position model. The record is from RNAcentral.
ACGAACGCUGGCGGCGUGCUUAACCCAUGCAAGUCGCACGGAAAGGCCCUGCUUGCAGGGUACUCGAGUGGCGAACGGGUGAGUAACACGUGGGUGAUCUGCCCUGCACUUCGGGAUAAGCCUGGGAAACUGGGUCUAAUACCGGAUAGGAGCCAUUUUUAGUGUGAUGGUUGGAAAGUUUUUUCGGUGUAGGAUGAGCUCGCGGCCUAUCAGCUUGUUGGUGGGGUAAUGGCCUACCAAGGCGGCGACGGGUAGCCGGCCUGAGAGGGUGGACGGCCACAUUGGGACUGAGAUACGGCCCAGACUCCUACGGGAGGCAGCAGUGGGGAAUAUUGCACAAUGGGCGCAAGCCUGAUGCAGCGACGCCGCGUGGGGGAUGACGGCCUUCAGGUUGUAAACUCCUUUCGCUAGGGACGAAGCUUUUUGUGACGGUACCUAGAUAAGAAGCACCGGCUAACUACGUG